Non-coding RNA from Nitrosomonas sp. AL212, 361 nucleotides. Lineage: Bacteria; Pseudomonadati; Pseudomonadota; Betaproteobacteria; Nitrosomonadales; Nitrosomonadaceae. The record is from Rfam.
GGGGACGAUCUGGUUUCGACGUGGGUUGCAAAGCAGCGCAGGGCAUACCGAGGAUCAGAUUACCUCGUAAAUCCAUCUGAAAACAAUAGUCGCAAACGACGAAAACUACGCUUUAGCCGCUUAAUUCGGCUAGCCUCUGCACCGAUGGGCCUCAACGCCGGGUCUGGCAACAGACAGCAGAGUUACUAACGAGGAUCGCGUUUUAUAGGGUUACUUUAUAGAACGUUAAACGCAAGGUGACUCGCCUGUCAUCAGCCUGCCGGUUGGCGGUUGCCAGGUCAAACUAAAUAACAUGGCUAAGUAUGUAGAACUGUCUGUAGAGGGCUUGCGGACGCGGGUUCGAUUCCCGCCGUCUCCACCA